UAUGAAGAACGUAUCGAAAUGCGAUACGUAGUGUGAAUUGCAGAAUUCAGUGAAUCAUCGAAUCUUUGAACGCACAUUGCACCUCUCGGUAUUCCGGGAGGUAUGCCUGUUCGAGCGUCAUUUGUACCCUCAAGCUCUGCUUGGUGUUGGGUGUUUGUUCCGCCUCUGUGUGUGAACUCGCCUCAAAACAAUUGGCAGCCGGCGUACUUGUUUCGGAGCGCAGCACAUUUUGCGAUCCAGAUCAACGUACAGCGGCAUCCAAGAAGCCUUAUUUAACGCUCUUGACCUCGGAUCAGGUAGGGAUACCCGCUGAACUUAAGCAUAUCAAUAAGCGGAGGA
RNAcentral lists this unclassified non-coding RNA (339 nucleotides) under soil metagenome. Its description in RNAcentral is "partial contains 5.8S ribosomal RNA, internal transcribed spacer 2, and large subunit ribosomal RNA". The stretch from base 2 to 120 matches the Rfam family "5.8S ribosomal RNA", at positions 36 to 154 of the family's 154-position model. The record is from RNAcentral.